This 106-nucleotide microRNA precursor is filed under the name Canis lupus dingo (dingo). Its description in RNAcentral is "mir-8834 microRNA precursor family". It matches the Rfam family "mir-8834 microRNA precursor family". The record is from Rfam by way of RNAcentral. Lineage: Eukaryota; Metazoa; Chordata; Mammalia; Carnivora; Canidae.
AGGAGGAACAACCGCAGUGGCGGCGGCCAGCUCUGGAGCCCUGGAGUCAGCCCCCGCAGUAGCUCCAGAGCUCUCCGUCUGCAGGGCCUGGAGGCUCUGGGGCGGG